Soboliphyme baturini is the source of this 45-nucleotide non-coding RNA. The record is from Rfam. NCBI's taxonomy places the organism in Eukaryota, Metazoa, Nematoda, Enoplea, Dioctophymatida, Soboliphymatidae.
CCAACGGCCCUUUUCAGGGCCACCCUAUCAAGAUGCGCUACUUUG